RNAcentral lists this ribosomal RNA (496 nucleotides) under uncultured bacterium. RNAcentral describes it as "partial 16S ribosomal RNA". It matches the Rfam family "Bacterial small subunit ribosomal RNA", at positions 29 to 507 of the family's 1533-position model. The record is from RNAcentral.
AUGAACGCUGGCGUCGUGCCUAAUACAUGCCAGUCGAGCGAACAGACGAGGAGCUUGCUCCUCUGACGUUAGCGGCGGACGGGUGAGUAACACGUGGAUAACCUACCUAUAAGACUGGGAUAACUUCGGGAAACCGGAGCUAAUACCGGAUAAUAUAUUGAACCGCAUGGUUCAAUAGUGAAAGACGGUUUUGCUGUCACUUAUAGAUGGAUCCGCGCCGCAUUAGCUAGUUGGUAAGGUAACGGCUUACCAAGGCAACGAUGCGUAGCCGACCUGAGAGGGUGAUCGGCCACACUGGAACUGAGACACGGUCCAGACUCCUACGGGAGGCAGCAGUAGGGAAUCUUCCGCAAUGGGCGAAAGCCUGACGGAGCAACGCCGCGUGAGUGAUGAAGGUCUUCGGAUCGUAAAACUCUGUUAUUAGGGAAGAACAAAUGUGUAAGUAACUAUGCACGUCUUGACGGUACCUAAUCAGAAAGCCACGGCUAACUACGUG